Molecule: transfer RNA, 411 nt
Filed under: uncultured SAR86 cluster bacterium
Lineage: Bacteria; Pseudomonadati; Pseudomonadota; Gammaproteobacteria
Description: partial 16S-23S ribosomal RNA intergenic spacer
Rfam family: tRNA (bases 107-180)
Source: RNAcentral
CCUCCUUUCUAAGGAUGAAUGAAAGUAAAAUUUCAUUCUAAAUAAUAUACAUCGGUAAUGUUGACCGUCCUCAUUUCUCUUCUUAAAGUAAUGUUUCCUUCUUGUAGGGCCGGUAGCUCAGUUGGUUAGAGCACACCCUUGAUAAGGGUGGGGUCGAAAGUUCGAGUCUUUCUCGGCCCACCAUACUUAACUGGGGGAUUAGCUCAGCUGGGAGAGCGCCUGAUUUGCAUUCAGGAGGUCAGCGGUUCGAUCCCGCUAUCCUCCACCAGGGAACAUUUAGUUAUAAAAAUUGUAAAUAAAAAUAAUAAUUAAUAUCAAUAUCUAUAUCCGAACAUUAGUAAUGUUAUUAGCUAAUGUUCAAAAUAAAAAUUUGAUUCAACACAGAAAGAAUUUUUUCUGUGCAUAAAUCAA